RNAcentral lists this transfer RNA (67 nucleotides) under Linognathus vituli. RNAcentral's name for it is "tRNA-Leu". The record is from RNAcentral. Lineage: Eukaryota; Metazoa; Arthropoda; Insecta; Psocodea; Linognathidae.
AGCUAAGUUGGCAGAUAAAGUGCAAGUAAUUUAGGGUUACGAGAUAAGAAUCAAACUUACUUAGCUU